RNAcentral lists this long non-coding RNA (1034 nucleotides) under Manacus vitellinus (golden-collared manakin). RNAcentral's name for it is "lncRNA (ENSMVIG00005018321.1)". The record is from RNAcentral. Lineage: Eukaryota; Metazoa; Chordata; Aves; Passeriformes; Pipridae.
ACAAGUUCUUCGCAGCCACCUCCAUCAUCCUCUUCCUCAACAAGAAGGACCUUUUCGAGGAGAAGAUCAAGAAGGUCCAUCUCAGCAUCUGCUUCCCGGAGUACGACGGCCCCAACACGUUCGAGGACGCCGGGAAUUACAUCAAGACCCAGUUCCUGGACCUGAACAUGAGGAAGGACGUGAAGGAGAUCUACAGCCACAUGACCUGUGCCACAGACACCCAGAACGUCAAGUUCGUCUUCGACGCCGUCACGGACGUGAUCAUCAAAGAGAACCUCAAGGACUGCGGCCUCUUCUGAGCCCGGGAAGGAAACAUUCCCGUCUCUCCGUUCUGCUGAGCAGAGCCAAAGGAAGAACCACCCCCUCCACACGUCACCGCUCCCACUUUUUCUAUGACCGCCCCAAAUCCGCCUCUUUUCACCCCAAACUAGGAAGGGGCUGAACUCAACGUCCUGCUCCCUUUCGUGGCCAUUUCCUCUUUUUUUUUUUUUUUUUUGUUUUUUUCCGAGGAGAACUCCCCGUUCUCAGCAUUCCACGGGAGGUUUGACACCAAGACACAGCCAGGAAUAGGAAUAUUGAGGGAAUUUGGGAGGCAGGGACGGGAAUUCCCCCCUGGCCAUCCCUCCACAGCCCCUUCCUGCCCUUGGAUCGAGGCUGGAUUCAUCCAAGCUGGAAUUUCUGGGGGAGGAGGAAGCUGAGUUACCUCCGAGUGGCUCCUGGGAACCCACCCCAGCCCUUCCCGGGAAUCGACCCUUUGGCAGGAGAAAUCAGGGAUUCCUGGAGUUCUCUGGGGCCCUGAAUGGUGGGAAUUCCUCAGGCAGGAAGGGCUGGGGGAGGGAACCCCAACUCCAGCCCGGGAAUGGGAAUGGGAAUGGGAAUGGGCUGGAUAAAGAGGAAAUGGUUGCUCGAAACAUUUUCGUUCUGCUACUUUAGAGCCACGUUCGCUCUCUCUGUUUGUAAAUAAUCCGUAGGUGAUCCCUGGAAAUCCCUGGAUCCUCCUUUCCCUGCUCCCUGCACAGAUCUCCCCUUCCAGC